AUGGGUCGCAAAAGAGAACUAGAGCUGAGGAAACAGCUUGCAAUUCGGACAUUUGCUAGUAUGUUAGGUAUGAUUACAAUAGUUUUAUAUGUAAUCAAAGCAAGUGGAAGUAAUGGGAUGGCUUCAAAUGUCUCUCCAUCAGUGCGACGAAAAUGUGAUUCACCUGUAGACUGGAGUGUCACUCAAGUAGGAGAUUUGACUGUUGAUCAAAUGAUCGAAUACGUGGAAUGGACCAACAGUACGGCGUGUCGUCUCACUCACGAUUUCGGUGGACACACCCAUGAAGAUGGUGUUGAUGGGCAAAAAGCUGUUUGCAUGGAUCCACUAAUCAGGCCGGAAAGAUACAGCGAGUGUUUAGUCUAUUCGUUUGGAAUCAGCAACGACUGGACGUUCGACGAAGAGAUUGUAAAGUUGGGAUGCAGAGUCUUCGCUUUUGAUCCAUCGAUGAAUCAGGACGAUCACGAUCAUACGCCUAAAAUUCACUUUUACAAUUUGGGGCUAGGCGAUCGCGACGAGCGAUGGAACAAGGAUCCUAAUAUGAACUGGACGAUGAGGUCGCUAGAGUCCAUUUACUACAGACUACUUAAACACGAGGGCAGAUACAUAGACUACCUUAAGAUGGACAUUGAACAUUCUGAAUGGAUAGUCUUACCUCAAAUCAUCUCCUCCGGUAUGAUGGAUUUAGUGAGGCAGCUGUCAGUUGAAAUACAUCUUCCUGAACAAGGUGGAAUCGAUGAAUUUCAUAGACGCAUCAAGGUCAUCAAGGCGCUAGAAGAUUAUGGAAUGGUCCGCUUUGAUUCCAAAUACAACCCUUGGUCGCUGGAAUGGAACGUCGCCGUCGACUGGGAAGGAUAUAAUGCAUACGAGAUUGUUUGGUUCAAUUCUAAACUUGUCCGAACGAAACCCAUGGUGGAAAUGAAUUCGACCCAACGUCAACCUAGAGUCAAUAAGAAAAAGAAAAUACAUAAUCCAAUAAAUGUCAACAGAUCCAUGUACAGAAAAAAAAAUUUAAAAGGUUGAUAACAUGCCAUGUGUUUUGUGAAAUAAACUAUUGCGCAAACGACUUGUUUAAAUCUUCCGCGAAAACUUUUUGAAACAUUUGAUAAACGAUUCUAUACCUUAAGGGCAUUAAUCGAUAAAACGCCCCUUUUUAAUGAUUAAUUCCACAAUUGCCCGGUUAUCUAAGGCAGUUGAUCUCUAGCUCUUGGCUAGUUCACUGAACAACUUCACCUGCAUUAUUUUAGUUUUUACGACAGAAACAAAGUUCUAGUAGAUAUAUAAACGAUAGAUUUCAAUAUUUAAAAAAGCACUACUAAUUGGAAAAAAUCUUUUACCUUAUGCAGAAUGGCUUAUGCUGUUGAACACCAGUACACCAGAACACCAGUACGCCGAUUUCUCGAAGUGUUUCGUGAUGAGCACCAGUACGAUAGGAGACCAUGUGGGCUUACACCAGUUCAUCCAUCUAAGGCCGUGCCCAAGAGAAAACCAUGUCACGCUGCUGGAAUUUUCCCGAUCAAACCUAAAAAAGCUGGGCAGAGCCGAUCUCGCCUACCAGUACCCGUACGUUCAGUGGAAUCAGGGGUGAGAUCUUCCAAGGUACAAGCAAAGUCCACCGGGACAACUUUUCGUAAAGAAAAAUCGAGAAUCCCAGUCCUGUCAAAUCAAUUCACCAUCCACGCACCUAAAAUUGAAGCUUUAAAGAAGAGAGAGAGAGAGAUUAUGGCGGAGUUUUUUAAAGUUAGAGCCGAGAGGGAACACGUUGAAAGUCUUCAACGUAAACUCCUCGUUCACAAACCCACACCCGUUAAAACACGAAAACGUCGCUCCAAGUCUCUAGCAUUAGACAGUCCUUUCUCCCUCGACAACGAUAGUCACAACAUGGGAAAUAUGUCACCUUUGCCCCUGUUGUCACCGACCCAAUCGAAAAAUCCAGGCUCCAUCUACGAGAAUUACCGCCGUACGUUAAAUUUCCUUCAAACGCCUUCACGCUCAACUUUUAAACACCGGACUAGAUCUACUCUACAAAGCGAUAAUGGCACCAACGUUUCCCAACUAGUGCAGAGCCAACUUGCUCACCUGUUUAAUUAAAUGUCCCUGUAAAUUGUGUUUUAAUGGAAAAGUGGCUUUUAAAUUUAACUUAAUAUAUACAAAUACAAUUAUUUUAAAAACAAAA
This is an RNA transcript of Daphnia pulex (common water flea), 2173 nucleotides long. RefSeq lists it as uncharacterized. The transcript is spliced from 6 exons. The record is from RefSeq and is a predicted model, not a curated record. Lineage: Eukaryota; Metazoa; Arthropoda; Branchiopoda; Diplostraca; Daphniidae.